Small nuclear RNA from Oryctolagus cuniculus (rabbit), 164 nucleotides. Its record names the gene U1. It matches the Rfam family "U1 spliceosomal RNA". Rfam says of the family: U1 is a small nuclear RNA (snRNA) component of the spliceosome (involved in pre-mRNA splicing). Its 5' end forms complementary base pairs with the 5' splice junction, thus defining the 5' donor site of an intron. NCBI's taxonomy places the organism in Eukaryota, Metazoa, Chordata, Mammalia, Lagomorpha, Leporidae. The record is from Ensembl.
GCACUUAGCUGGCAGGGGAGAUAGGAUGAUCACCGACGUGGUCUUCCCAGGGCGAGGCUCAUCCACUGUACUCUGGAUGUGCCGACCCCUGUGAGUUCCCCAGAUGCGGGAAACUCAACAGCAUAGUUUGUGGUAGUGAGGGACUGCGUUCAUACUCUCCCCUG